AACCCCUGGCAAUGAGCAAAGACACCACCUUGUUGGUGUUGUUCUUGAAUCAGUGAGGAGUAGAGCAGAUGAUGGUCCUUUGUUCAUCCAAGCUUGAUGCCUGGGUUGGUGGCCAAAGCUGUUUCUUGCCUAGUACACAGUU
Non-coding RNA from Fukomys damarensis (Damara mole-rat), 142 nucleotides. Lineage: Eukaryota; Metazoa; Chordata; Mammalia; Rodentia; Bathyergidae. The record is from Rfam.